Molecule: ribosomal RNA, 378 nt
Filed under: Triticum aestivum (bread wheat)
Lineage: Eukaryota; Viridiplantae; Streptophyta; Magnoliopsida; Poales; Poaceae
Description: partial small subunit ribosomal RNA
Source: RNAcentral
AUGGCAAUUGGAGCUGCAAUAGGUUUUCCAGGUAUGUUUGGUUCAGUUGGUUGCAUGUUGGCAAUGAAAGGCUGUCUCAAAGGUUUGUGCGGGAUGUACCAAGGUCACACCAAAGAGGCCACCAUCAUACUAGGAGUAGUGGCAUCAAGGGACUUGUGGAUUUGGUAUGCUUUCUUUGUCAUAUCUGGUUCUCACAACGGCAUUAAUUUGCUCCAACGAUCUCUGCUGUCCAAGAGACUUUGUGAUGUGGAUGCUCCGUCGUGCAACUACAUCGUCAACGGACACAACUAUAACAUAGGGUACUACCUUGCCGAUGAUAUCUAUCCUCAGUGGGCGGUGUUUGUCAAGACCAUAUACGAUCCCCAUGGAAAAAAAUAA